This is a long non-coding RNA of Ipomoea triloba (trilobed morning glory), 451 nucleotides long. RefSeq lists it as uncharacterized. The transcript has 3 exons. The record is from RefSeq and is a predicted model, not a curated record. Lineage: Eukaryota; Viridiplantae; Streptophyta; Magnoliopsida; Solanales; Convolvulaceae.
CUUGAUCACAAGGUCUUUGGCAGGCCAGAAUACUCACCACUAUACUACAACGACUCGGCUAAAAAAUCCAGUGGAGGCAAAAUCCACACAUUUUAGAGCUGCUUGGACUGACAAACUAUGUUUGAUACAAAACUACCCCCUGGCGUGACAAUGCUUCAACUUUUCUCUGAAGGAUCUUCAAUUAAAAAAAUUGUUGUUCAGGGUUGGUUAGGGUGUCAUGUGACAGAAAUAUGGAUAUGUAAUUGAGGAAGAAUUCUUUUUCGCAUGCCACAAUUUUGAAUAUGCCUAGAUUACGAGACUGCAUUGUUGCUGAGCAGUGGAGACCUAAUGCUGAUGAAGCACUAUACCAGGCAGGAAGACUUACAGGUUAUUCUCUUUCAAUGUCUCAAUUAGAGUAUCAAUCAGACAAAACUAUUCAAUGGCAUGUGAAUACUAUUAUUAUUAUUAUUUG